This 492-nucleotide ribosomal RNA is filed under the name uncultured bacterium. Its description in RNAcentral is "partial 16S ribosomal RNA". It matches the Rfam family "Bacterial small subunit ribosomal RNA", at positions 29 to 507 of the family's 1533-position model. The record is from RNAcentral.
AGUGAACGCUGGUGGUAGGCCUAACACAUGCAAGUCGAACGGCAGCACAGUAAGAGCUUGCUCUUACGGGUGACGAGUGGCGGACGGGUGAGGAAUACAUCGGAAUCUACUUUUUCGUGGGGGAUAACGUAGGGAAACUUACGCUAAUACCGCAUACGACCUACGGGUGAAAGCAGGGGAUCUUCGGACCUUUCGCGAUUGAAUGAGCCGAUGUCGGAUUAGCUAGUUGGCGAGGUAAAGGCCCACCAAGGCGACGAUCCGUAGCUGGUCUGAGAGGAUGAUCAGCCACACUGGAACUGAGACACGGUCCAGACUCCUACGGGAGGCAGCAGUGGGGAAUAUUGGACAAUGGGCGCAAGCCUGAUCCAGCCAUACCGCGUGGGUGAAGAAGGCCUUCGGGUUGUAAAGCCCUUUUGUUGGGAAAGAAAAGCAGCAGGUUAAUACCCCGCUGUUCUGACGGUACCCAAAGAAUAAGCACCGGCUAACUUCGUG